This is a long non-coding RNA of Gordionus sp. m RMFG-2023, 705 nucleotides long. RefSeq lists it as uncharacterized. The transcript is spliced from 3 exons. NCBI's taxonomy places the organism in Eukaryota, Metazoa, Nematomorpha, Gordioida, Chordodea, Parachordodidae. The record is from RefSeq and is a predicted model, not a curated record.
AAAAUCCGUUCCCAUGCAACUGAUGUAACCUGCUGUGGGAGAUAGUCCAUUGCUAUUUUGGCUAGAAUUGGAAAUUUAUUAUGAUCUCUUCCAAUCAGUCUAGUAUGUUGGAAUUAUUUGAUAUAAAAUAUCAGCAACAGUUAUGAAGACAUUAUCCGCGGCAGGAUCUGUAAGAGAUAUAUUCCUGUGUUCAUCUUUGAACAUAAGGGCCAAAGAUAUUCUAUAUUCGAGAUGGGGAGUCACUUUAGGAAAUGUGAAAGCUGUCACAGAUUUCUAUAAUAUAUUGUGCUUGUUUAUGUGAGAUCAUGUCUGGACGGGUAGGCAAUAGUUCAAUGCGGUAACCAACAAUAUUUUUAAAUGCAUCUGUAUUUUCCAAGUGAUGAAUACUCCAAAGUACGAAUAUACCUAAUUGUCCAUUAUACUUUGGUUCCAAAUAUAAUUUGACUACAGCGUUAGUUAUCCUAGGAGCAAGCGAGAAAUUAUCUGUCAUAAAAAACAUAUUUAUAUUAAACCCCCAUAAGUUGACUGUAUUGCCAUAAUGUUACGGCUUAUUCAUACAAUUCUUUAGGUUUAUGUAACCUACAAAAAGAUAAUGCUAUUGACUUUUCAAUUGAAUAAUAAUAAUUUGAAAAAAAUUUCACAAUAUGGAAUUUCAUAAUAUAAAAGAUGUAAUUUUUUUAAAUUUAUAAUAUACCAAUUUUGAUC